GACGAACGCUGGCGGCGUGCCUAAUACAUGCAAGUAGAACGCUGAAGGAGGAGCUUGCUUCUCUGGAUGAGUUGCGAACGGGUGAGUAACGCGUAGGUAACCUGCCUGGUAGUGGGGGAUAACUAUUGGAAACGAUAGCUAAUACCGCAUAAUAGCAGUUGUUGCAUGAUAACUGUUUGAAAGGUGCAAUUGCACCGCUACCAGAUGGACCUGCGUUGUAUUAGCUAGUUGGUGGGGUAACGGCUCACCAAGGCGACGAUACAUAGCCGACCGGAGAGGGUGAUCAGCCACACUGGGACUGAGACACGGCCCAGACUCCUACGGGAGGCAGCAGGAGGGAAUCGUCGGCAAUGGACGGAAGUCUGACCGAGCAACGCCGCGUGAGUGAAGAAGGUUUUCGGAUCGUAAAGCUCUGUUGUAAGAGAAGAACGAGUGUGAGAGUGGAAAGUUCACACUGUGACGGUAUCUUACCAGAAAGGGACGGCUAACUACGUG
RNAcentral lists this ribosomal RNA (495 nucleotides) under uncultured bacterium. Its description in RNAcentral is "partial 16S ribosomal RNA". It matches the Rfam family "Bacterial small subunit ribosomal RNA", at positions 28 to 507 of the family's 1533-position model. The record is from RNAcentral.